GCCAGGCGUGGUGGUGCAUGCCUGGAAUCCAAGCUACUCAGGAGGCUGGGGUGGGAGGAUCGCAAGUUCAAGGCCAGCAUGGACAACUUAGCAAGACCCUGCCUCAA
Molecule: small RNA, 107 nt
Filed under: Marmota monax (woodchuck)
Lineage: Eukaryota; Metazoa; Chordata; Mammalia; Rodentia; Sciuridae
Source: RNAcentral